AUGGGAGGAAAAAAACAUUGGAGGUCUUGGGAUUGGUUAUCCUCACUCAAGUAUCUCGGAGGAAUGGGAUUCAGGGACUUGGUGAUUUUUAAUCAAGCCAUGCUUGCAAAGCAGUGCUGGAGGCUCUUAGUGAACCCCAAUUCCUUAUGCUUCAAGGUAUUAAAAGGAAGGUAUUUACCGCAUGGAGAUUUUUGGAGGUCAGGAUGCCCAUGAUCAGCUUCCUACACAUGGCGCAACAUAUUGUUUGGUAAGAAAGUCCUUCAGAAGGGCUUAUUGUGGCGAGUAGGAAAUGGAAAGCAAAUAUAUUUGAUUAAAGAUAAUUGGGUCCCAGACUCAUUGCCUAGCAUACCUUGCACAAAUUUCCCAGUGGAGGAGGAUAAGACUGUCAACCAUUUGUUCUCAACUGAUGGCAAAUCAUGGAACAGUGUGGCUGUUAGUGAAAUGUUUCCAAAAGACCUGGCUGUAGAGAUUCUCAAGAUUCCUCUAAGUUGA
Molecule: ribosomal RNA, 492 nt
Filed under: Triticum aestivum (bread wheat)
Lineage: Eukaryota; Viridiplantae; Streptophyta; Magnoliopsida; Poales; Poaceae
Description: partial small subunit ribosomal RNA
Source: RNAcentral